Molecule: ribosomal RNA, 567 nt
Filed under: uncultured archaeon
Lineage: Archaea
Description: bacterial SSU rRNA
Rfam family: Archaeal small subunit ribosomal RNA
Source: RNAcentral
CCGCGAUUCGCCCUUCGGGGUGCCCAGGCGCGAAAACUUUACAAUGCUGGCAACAGCGAUAAGGGGACCUCGAGUGCCAGGAUACAAUCUUGGCUGUCGCGAUGCCUAAAAAGCAUUGCAUAGCAAGGGCCGGGCAAGACCGGUGCCAGCCGCCGCGGUAACACCGGCGGCUCGAGUGGUAACCGCUAUUAUUGGGUCUAAAGGGUCUGUAGCCGGCCGGAUAAGUCUUUUGGGAAAUCCAGCUGCUCAACAGUUGGGCUUUCAGAAGAUACUGUUCGGCUCGAGACCGGGAGAGGUGAGAGGUACUUCAGGGGUAGGGGUGAAAUCUUGUAAUCCUUGAAGGACCACCAGUGGCGAAGGCGUCUCGCCAGAACGGAUCUGACGGCAAGGGACGAAAGCUAGGGGCACGAACCGGAUUAGAUACCCGGGUAGUCCUAGCCGUAAACGAUACUCGCUAGGUGUCAGCCACGGUGCGACCGUGGUUGGUGCCGUAGGGAAGCCGUGAAGCGAGCCACCUGGGAAGUACGGCCGCAAGGCUGAAACUUAAAGGAAUUGGCGGGGGAGCAC